Molecule: long non-coding RNA, 18306 nt
Organism: Diorhabda carinulata
Lineage: Eukaryota; Metazoa; Arthropoda; Insecta; Coleoptera; Chrysomelidae
Exons: 2
Source: RefSeq, a predicted model, not a curated record
UCCAAUAAAAAAGUUUAUAACUUUCAUGCAAAAUCAUCUCAAAUAAAAUUUCUUAUACUAAAUAAUGAUGUUGUUUUCUGUUUAUAACAAAUUCUUAGAGAUAUGAUAAUAUUUUAAUUGCACCACCCUGUAUUUAUAAUUUUUUCAUUGGAUAAAAGACGCUGUGCUGUGAACUGAUUGGUAAGCAACUUGUCCAGGUCUGUAUUACAAUAUUUAAUUGUCAGAAUCAGUGAAUCAUAAAUUAAGAUAAACAACAACAUUAUACAUAAUUCACAUAAUUCCAGAUACUUUUUCUAUAAUUAUCAUGGUUAGGUAAGUACACACAGUACACAGUUAGUAGUUGUAUUAAAUUAUUCUUAAGUUUGAUACACAACAGAAUCAACUAUCAACCAGUCGAUAUGCAUAUUCUGUAAACGUCCUACAAGAUUGGUACAGAGAAAGGCCAAGCAGUUGAAAACAGUCGGCAACAUCUAUCAACCGAUAUUCAAAAACUGAUUUUAACUGACUUUCUAGUCGAUCAAUGUUCAAAAGAGAUGCUAUCAAGGAAACAAAGUUUAUGACAAACUCUUCCCUGACUACAAUCUACAAAAUUGCGAAACUAGGUGUGAAAACGAGAUGAGGAAGGAAUAUUCCAGGAAUUUUUAAGAAAAUGGAAUGUGAUUGCUUAAUUUUAUUAUGCGAAACAAUCUACAGUAUGUCCGCAUUAAACAUAACCUCAAAUCUUCAAGGUUUAAUAGAUCUCUGAUUUAAGGAUUAUAGUUUAAUUACAUCAAAUUCAAUUAGAAAUGUGGAUUCAAUACAAAAUUAACAACAACUUUAAAUUCAACGUUUCUUCCAGGUGAAACGUUUUUCAUCGAUUACAUUCAUAAUUGUUUGGCAAAACUAUAAUGGUUUAACAGAACCAGAACAUUAAUGCUAGGUGUAAUUGCACUCUAUAAGGAUAACAUUCAUUUUUCAAAUAACCUCCUCAGAGAUCUCUCACUAGUAUCGUUAUCUAUUUUGAGUUUUGGAAUCGAGUUAUUAUUCCUACAUAACAUCACAUCCUUCUAUAACUAGGAAUAAUUUUCACACUGCCAGUUGAACUGACUCCUGAAAUUGUUAGACAGUAUGGACUUCACUCAAUUCCGACGAAUAUUUUUCUGCAUAUUGCGAUAAUAGGAUAUUAAUUUCAUGUGAAGAAACCGUAAUCUCUAAGUUAUAAACCCUCUAAACCUGAAAUCAAUAAAUUCAGCAAUAUCAUAUCUCCUGAAAAUAUAUGAAUGUACUGCAAAUACCACUACAGAGAAUGGAAAAUAUACAAAAAAAUUUAAGUAAGACAAUCUCCCAUAAAGUCAUAGUUGAAUAGUCAGCUCAUUUUGUAUAGGAUCAUCAACGAUAUUAUAAAAUGUUGUUUCCAAGCAUUGACAAGAAAAAUAGUGAAAUGAAAUAUGAAAGAAGAAGAGUUGAGGGAAUUCGACGAAAUAGUCUUCGCUCCAAAUUAUUCUGAUAAAUUGAUGCAAUGUGUACAUAUAGAAAUAAAUAUAGAAUAGAACAAAUACAAAAUUUUGUUUCUAUGUUUAUUGCUGAUUGGUGAUAUAUAUUUAAAAGUGAAAAAAGUUUGGGUCUAUUUGUGCAUACGCUAAAUAACAAAUAGACAAAGAAAUUAGUUACUUUGGAAAAAAAAUAUUCAAAAAUGAGAAGACCAGUGAGAAUAUGGAAAAAAUGAUUAAUUGGAUUGGGAUACAGAGAAGAGUAGUGGAAGGAAGAAAGUUUCGAGAGAUACAAAUCGGAGCUAGUAAUUCAACUUAAAUGUAAUUAAAGAAAGAAACUGAGAGGUUAUCAUUACUUAUUUCAGAAUUUAUUGAAAAAAUAGUGAAUUAUUUCCACAUUUCAGUUGCUAUAUGAUAAAGUUAUUCAUGAUAAAAAUGCGUGAAAGUACUUAACCUGAAAGUAUCAUAAAAUAUUUCAUAUACGACCAUAUUAAAAAAUACUUUUGUUGUAAACAGUAUUAUUAUUUAAAUUUGUAGUAGUUUUCAACACUUGAUGAUGGGAGAAUAACUUUGAUGAUUUCCAUUGACAUUGGCUCGAAUUUUCCGAGAAAUAUGUAAUUUUUUUCAUACUGUACUGUAAAGUCGACUUUACAGUACUAAUUUGAGUUCGGAAAAUGGCACUUUACGGUAUCCUUGUACUUUACAGAACCAGUCGCAAAACGUCGCAUAUUAUUUUUAGUACCUUCUCGAAGACUUGAUUGGAAUAAUUUUACCUACUGCUUCCGCACUUUUCGUAGCAAUUUUAUUUGAAUUAUCAGGGAUUCUUUCGGAAAUUAUUUUUGUAUUUCUGAACAUUCAAUAUGUCUACCUGUUUUCCACUAAAAUUGUCAAAUAUGAUAUUUUAAAUUUAAUAUAAUUCUGCUUUUUGUUCAAAAACCGAAGACAAUAUAAAAAAACAUAUUACGAUAUACGUCCGUAAAGUUAUUAUAAGGUACUCAAAUAUUUUUGACUAGGCUCAUUCGUCGCCUCGUCGUCGAAUAUCUAUCUCAUACCAUACUAAAUCACUUCCUGGACUUAAAACGUAAAUAAUUAUUCCCGUAUUCUUGACUUUUCUGGAAGCACGUUUCGAGUUAGGUUGCACGAAAUUUCUUCAAUUUCAGGAGGAGUGCAAUAAAAUUCUUCAUCCAUGUUUAUUUAUCUUUACCAUCAGUGUUUUAUCAAUCAAAAUGACGGUGACGUUUCACACUUGUUAUAAAAUCUUUAUAGAACUCUCGUUUGGUUAUUAAUAUUUUAUUAUUGCGUGUCAGAGUUUUCAUAGUUUUCGUUAUAUAAUAUUUAUAGUAACUAUAAACCUCCUCAUGAUAGAAAUCUUUGCAUGACACUCUAAACUUAAACUUGUGACCUACGUCCCGUAGCCAAAUUAAAUCAAGUUAAAUUCAAGUUACGCAAGCCUUUAUAAAUACGUUUCACUUAAACUAAAUAAUGGUUAGAAUAAGCCAAAUCAAGCAAUUUAAUUGAAGUAUUAAGAGUGGAACCAAAAAAGUAUCUUUUGAAUUCACCUCAAACGUAAAAAUAUACUCAUAUCAGUAUUCGGCAGUGAACGCAAAAAUUAAUACAAGAACUUUUGACAAAAAACACAACUUUAUAAAUUUUAUAAAUAAAAAAAGUGUUGUAAUUAUUAUCCCAUUUAAAAAGCAUCUUGAAUAUUUAAUAAUAAUUCUUGUUUUUGUACGCCUUUAGACAUAUGUAUAGUAUAUAAUUUCACGUAUUUAGUUUACGGUGAAACACCAAAAUCUAGAGAAUGUCGACUUCACUGGUGGAUGUCAACAUUCACAAUCCACUUAGUCACCAGUCCGAAAUAUGUGCUACAUACCCUCAUUUCUGACUCACACCGGUAAAUGUCAGCAUUCACCAUGCACUAAUGGUGAAUUUUGAAUAUGUUGGAGAUUGGAAUAAUCAAGAAUUUAGAAUACACAGUACAUUCUACACGAGAAAAGGAAAUGUUAGUAAUGAAACAAUUACUUCCUUAUGUUAUCAAAAUCUUAUUCAUUGCUACAACUUGAACUAUUAUUACAUUUUGAAUUGCACAAGCUUUUACAACUGCAUCCUUUUGCAAUCACAGCGUAUAGUCUUGUCCCUGCUUCUCUUAUCAGCUUCAGCUGCUUCUUUCAGUCGGAGUCUUCUAUUCCAAUAACAACAUUUCGGCUAACUGUAAAACCACUGUCGCCAUCUUGUAUUCGGACAUUUUUACCAAUUGCUUUUGUGAGAUUCGUAUCCUUUUUUUUGCAGUAGAAUAUUUUCUUUUUAUUUUUCAAUCAGAAUUUGAUCUGAAGAUGUUGUGGGUGGUAGGUGCUCCUCAAUGUUUUUCUUUGGAAUAUCAUUUUUGGUAUGAUCACCAGUCAAAUUUUUCUUAGCAAUUUCUUCAAGAUGUUUUUCGAUUUCAAAAGUAUCGCUAACUUCCUCGAAUUGAUCUUCAGUUUCAAUAUUUGCAAUAUAUUCGCCUGGAUAGAAGAUGAUACUUUGUAUCUUUUUGCUUUAAUAGCAGACUUGGGUUCAUAAGGACUUGGGCUUAUGCGAUCCUCUUGGAAAAUGAAACAAAUGAUAAACCAUCAGAGAAGGCUGUCUAUAAACUAUUUUGCACAUAUUUUGGAAAUGACGUGAUUAUUAAAUUCUCUACUAUUAUUUGAUUGCAAUAUUACUGGUGCACCAAAUGCUACAAAUAUUGCAAUGACUUUAUGCGCUCCUUCUUUAGCUCUUUUAAUUUUCAAAGAUCGUAGCUAGACAAACUGAAAUAAUCUUGAUACACCAUUAUCCGAAAUGAAAAUAUACGACGAAGACAUCAGAGAUAAUAAAGACUAAACAACUGCUUUUGUACGCAGAACAGGUAGCUGAAGAAAGCAUUGAUGUGUCAAUCGCAGAAUAGAAGAAGACGAGGAAGGCCCUAAAGGACCUAAAAGGAAAUGAUUGAACAGACCAUGAAAGAAAGAGCUGGCCAGGAAAACGAGUUGAUAGAUAGAAAGUUGUGGCGUACGAAUAUAUUAAUACCAGGACAUCUAUUAGAACUUUUUCGCAUUUAUAUAACUAUUACAUAGUUUUAAGGUUAAAUUGUUAAGAGUUCUAAAAAAUAUUUCUCGUUGUUGUUGUUAUAGUAGUGAUCUAAUACACAUAUUAUAUAUUAGAUGUUGUAAAACUAAAAUAAAAAGAAGAAAAAAUCGAACGGCUGUCUACGGUGCAGUUUUCAGUUCGUUCACAUAAAAAUUUUAAUGUCUACACUUACUGAUACUUUUAAGCACAAGUUAAGUAUGUUGUUUAAAUAUAGAUUUAGUAUGCUUUAGAUCAUAAGUAAUAUACGAAAAGGUUCUUAAGAAUCUCGUAAUAUAAGACAAAUUUUUAUAAACUGAGAUAGUAUCGCGUGAGUUGAAAAUUUUGUAUUUUUAAUGUGACAUGUAUUUGAAAUUACUUUCCUGGCGAAUUUUUUUUCUUUUGAAAGCUCAUAUUAUAGGUGAAUAAAGUCUUGUAGUACGUUGACUGCUACUGCUCUAAUUAUUUUUGUAUAGACAUGGGAUAUAUAGCAAGCACUCUCCUAUUUAAAAGGUCAGAGUAUAAAUUUGAAAAUAUACUUCGGUCCGUAAUUGUGUUCCUAACUGCGUUAUUAGAUAUUAUUUACAAUUCUGUCUAGAUGGAUACGUGAUCAACGAAGUGGGAAACUGGAGGCUUUUUUGGGCACAUUUCCCUCAAUGUUUAGGACUCAGUAAUAAACAAGAACACAGACCAAUCAUAUAAUUUGAACUUAAGCGAAAUGUCUUCUGAACUUAGUACUACAGAAGGACGAAUUUACAAAGCAACAAUGACUUAUACAUAAGAAACAAGGCCAGAAGUACCUCUUGAAGAUCAUAGAGAUACAAAGUCUCAGGUGGAAAUUGGGAAAAACACUAUUAUAUCACGAAAGAACCGAAAAAAACAGACGUUCAUGGGACAGAUAACAUUAAAGAAUAGAUAUCACAGCGUAAGCAAUAAAGGUACCAACAUUUGUAUCGAAUGACCGAGAUAUACUGGGGAUAGACAAGGGAUAAAUUUCUAAUUGGAACACGAAGUAGACAAAAGAAGCGAUAGACAUAUUAUAGAAAAAAAAAAACAAGAAUUCUCAAUCUAUGUUUCUUAUGGACCAGUUUCUGUGCCAACUUGAGGCAAGUAUUCUAAGUAUCCCUUGAAUUGAUCUAAAUAUAGUGGAGUUGUUUCUUCCUUAUUGAGUUUACACUCAUACUUUGGAGCUGACAUGCUUCUGCUAUUGAACUCUAAAACAACUGUUGCGAUAGUGAUUCAUAAGAAUCUUAAUAUUUUGAAAUUAACAAGAAAAUUUGUAUUAUUUAUUUCGACAAAAGAAAUAUGUUUCUAAAAAAAAUUAACGUAAUUAAUUUCUAAGUCUACAGUAUUGAAUUCCUUUACUAAGCCCUAGAAAAUAGAAUACCAUCUAGUAUUAAUAGAUUUAUCAAAUAUAAUUUCUACGAAUACAUUUGUUCAAAUCAAAUCUAGCCUAGCCCAACCUACCAAUAUCAAACAUCAUUAUGAUGAAAAGAUGAAAGAAGACGUUGGUAUGUUGCUUUGAAAUGUAGUGGAGUGGCUCCUUUAGAGGUGUCAAGACCAGUACUGUUUUAUGAAUCGCGUUAGCCGGAAAUAUACAGAUGGAUAAGAUUGGAGAUGAGAGUAUCUCGUCUUCCGUCAAGCUUUUGCCUGAUAAAAUGAGUAUCACUAGGUUAUAGACAAACCUCCAAUAACUUGAAACCUUUACUUUACGAGAACCUAGUUCAGCAUAAAAUUAUAAUCAAAAGGUUUUUUUCUGAAAUGAGGAUUAGCAAUAAGAAUGAAGUUGUGGCUAUAGCUAGGAAAUUGUGUGAAAUGGGUCUGGAAGGCGAGAUCGAGACAGGUGAAUAGAGUUGAAAUCAAACGAUUCAUAUCUUCUUCUUUGGGUGCCCUCUUCUAAGGAAGGUUAGCGAUAACCACAGCAAAGUCAUUUCUGUCUCUGGACCUUCUUAUCAUCGUCUGAGAGUCUAAACCGGUUCACUUGCGAAUAUUCUUCAACCUGUCGUCUGCCAGGACCACGUUUUACCUCAUUUUUCCCCUCGAUCAGAAGUUGCAAAAGUCUCAUUUCUAUAUAUGUGUCCCAGAUACGAGGUUUUUCGAUGUUUUAUUAAUUCUGUUAAAUUUCCCUAUCGGUGUUUAUUCUUUGCGUUACUGAUAUCAGCAUUCCAGGGAAUUCUCAGCAUCCUCCGGAAGAUCCAUAUUUCGAAACUCUCUUGGUGAGUUCACCUUAAAGGUCCCACCCUCCGUUCUGUAUAAUGAGGUGCUGUAUACAUAGCAUUUCACCAUCCAGUACCGGAUUUUAAAGUCGAGUGCUCGGGAUGUAAACAAUUGCCUCAUUUUUAGAAAGACAUUUCUUGCUUGCUCUAUGCGUGAUCUUAUUUCAAUAUCUGGGUCUAUAUCUUUUGUUAUCUAACACCCCAAAUAUUUAAAUUCAUCGACAUUUUCGAUUAUGCCACCAUUUACGUUGAUAGACAGGGAAGGAUGGACAUGGAGACAAUCAUGGUUUUGGACUGUUGAUGAUCUAAUAGUGCUUAGAGAUCCUGUUAUUAAGAAUUUUUCCAUUGAUUUUAACACCUUCUCUUGCUCCAUCCAAUGCUCUGGCAAAGACUUCUUCUGAAUAUAUAUAGAAGGAUAGAGAGGAUAACAUGCAACCCUGUCGCACGCCUCUUUUGAUGGUAUAUGGUUCUGGGUCGCCAGUUGCAGCUCUCACCACUGCAGUUUGGUUAGCAUGAAGCGCCUGUAUGAUUUUGAGGACAUUCUCGUCUAGACACUUCCUGGAAAGGUAGUCCAUCAGCUUAUCAUGUCUUACUUUGUCGAAAGCCUUUUCGUAAUGAAUAAAACAUAAAAAGAGGUCCUUUUGCUGGUUUCGGCAUUUUUGUAAAAGUAUUAUGAAACUGAUCAAAGAUUUAUAUGCGAGGAAGAAUCUUUGUAGUGGUACAAUUGCUUCUAGAACGUGUAAAAAGAAUAUAUACUGGCAGAUUUCACUAGGGAUUACAAAGAAAGAAGUCGUAUUUAUCAGUUAGUUUUCUGCAAUUAAUUCCUACAUGAAAGAAAUACUGUUAUCCAAUAUUUUCUGUAUGUAGAAAGACAAUUAUCUAAGUUUUUAUACAAAUUUGCAGCUUUUGCAGUCAUUUCGAUUGAGUUCUUCUGUUAGAGGACAUCAUUAUCAUCAUUGCUGCUAGUUCACAGUGGUAUUAAUCUUCUACAAGUCUCCAAAGAAUAGAGAGACUCACCACAAUUUAAAAAAUGUGGUAGCAUAGAUAAUGGUUAUUUUAGAUUCUAGAAGUCAAUGUAAUUGAAAACUAAGUACAUAUUCAACUGUAUCAAAAAUUAGUUAUACAACUUAUCUGUAUUGAGUAGAUUGUGAUGAAAACUGGUAUAAUCUCUAUAUUUUUUGUUUGGAUAGUCAAACUUCUAAAAAUUCACAACAUUUGAUUUAUUCAUAAUAUAUUUUAUUUUCUCUCAUUUAUCCAUUUCCAUUCAGUGAUGUCUGCUCCUCGCCAAUUAUUAGGAAUCCACAAUUUUCCUUUGUUGAUGAAGACUGCAUUAUGAUCAAAUUGAUACUCCUGAUAUCUGUUUUUUUCAUAAACAUUAAAAGUAAAUGUGAGUCUGAAUGAUCUAAAUAGGUAUUAGAAUUGAAGUCAUCCAAAACCAUUCCAAAAUCACGUUUGAAACAUAAUUCAUUAUCAGCAGCGAAGUUGUUUCCAUCAUUAAAUUCUUUUCGUUACUCUGCUUUGUUUCUAUAUGUUUGUAAGUCACCCUGUAAUAUUAAAACACUUUUGCUUUACAUUUAGAUUUAACUAAAGUCUUUUUCGAAUUUGAAACACUUACUGAAAAUGGAUCUAAUCUUUGUUUCUUAUAUUCUAUUUGAACUAGAAAAACUCACCUCAACUACAAAGAUCAAUUUCAAUGAUCACGAUGAGUUUUUGCACAAAUACAUACUUUUGAGGCUCCAUAUUGAAUCUUCUGAAUAUUAUAAUUAAUAUAUAUGUUUUGCUUAGGAAUUAUUCUACUUCAAAACUGAUGUUAUUUUUGAAUUAAAUUUCCAAGUCAACAUUCAGCAAAAAAAAUCGAAAUAAAGCAAACGAUCCACAGUGAAGUUUGAAAUUUAAUUUAAAAUAUAAAUAUUCUAGUUAUGUGAGGAAAAAUUAUUGAUUAAAAGGAAAAUUUUUAAUUGAUAUGAUAUUUACAGCAAGAAUUAUAGAAGUAGAUGAAACUAUAAUAAUAUUUGUAAGACUGAAUAAUUUCCAUUUGAACUCAGCCGUUGAGAUACAAGAGAUAUAAAAUGAAGCUUUCAUAAACCAAAAAGUGGUAGUACAAAUAAAAAAACCUUAAAGCGAACGGUAUAAUUAGUUUUGAUUUUGUUUUCCCAUUGAAAUUUUGAUAAAUCCUAAAGAAUCUAACAAUAUUUGUGAACAAAUUACUUCAGAAAAAAAGUUGCUGCAUUUGGAGAACGGUAAAUUUACAAAAAUCAGUUACUACAUCAUUAUAAAUUCAAAAGAGCCAACUCGAAAAGGAAUAUUUACCGGAUGUUCCAAGUUAUCGUAUAUCGACUAUAUUUCAACAAAAUAAAUGAAAAAUUUCUUCCUUAAUGUACAUUUUUAAUAGCUUCUAAUAUAGUAACAGCCACCCUUUUUAUUAUAAAGAGUAUCCUUUAUAUUAUACAUAAUUGGACAAAUCCGUCACCACUUCUGGCAUGCAAAAUGAUGAUCCGUUACGUCUGUCUUACCUCAAUUUUCUGAUUUGGUUAUUUUAGUCAAUAAGAAGGUUACGUUCUAAAAGAUUAACUAAUCGAGAAUUUCGCACUAGAAACAAAUUAUUAGUAAAUAAUGCUCAAGCGUUGAUUAACGUUAUUGGGAAAUAUCUCUUUCUAGCAAAGUUUUUCCAUACUAUAUUGUACAGUAGCGAUACCAUAUUGUUUUUAUGCAUCGUACAUGGUAUUUUCAUCUUGAGUUCCUAUUUUGCACUGUUGAAAUUGGUACUUUGGUCAGUUCACUGAUUUUUCUUUUCAUUGGAUUAUAAAAUCGUUUCACCUUGAUACACGUUGUUUAAUUUUCUUUAGGAUUAGGCGACUAGUAAUGCCUUUUCUUCAAGUAUUGGACGAGGACCUAAAUUUUCAGGAGUCGGGAGUUCUGAAAUAUCUUCCCUCUGUCGAUGUAUCAUUGAAAUGAAAAAGUUUUACAAAUACACAAUAGAAACUUCGAUGUUUAAAUUCAAAUUGAAGAAAUUAAAAAAGCUUCUAUACUGGAAAUUUAUAGGCUAUUUUGCAAAAAUUCAUUUACGUAAAAACAAAAAUCCCUCAUAAUAACAGACUCUCUUAUGUUCAUUUGGUGAGAAAACGGAGAUCUUGAGAGUCAAAAGAUUAAGAGUUAUAGCUUUCGACUCUUGCCUCUCUCAUCCUUACAUUCCCAUAUAUGUUUGAGGAGAGCUGAAAUUUAAUGCUGGACUACAGGAUUCUAUUUCUAAUUCCUCGUCAUUCUUAAUUCAACUGAUUUCAACGAUGCACUAGAGUUAAAGUUCCUACACAUCUGGAAACAUUUCGCAUUUCUAAGGUCCUUACUUGAUCUACAGACCACUGCGAGUGCCCUUAUCCGAUCUCUUAAAGACAAUAAACGAUCUUUACUCUGUGUUGCCCUGUCUUAGAGUCAACGUAUAAUUAGUCAUUAUAGGAGAUUGACCUCGAAAAAUCACAUACUCAGUAUAUUAUACCACGUUAAGACCUGUAUCUUGACAUCCUAGAAUUAUCCUCAAAGUUCACGUAUAACUGGAUGGUCGAUAAAAUUUAACUAUUUUCCUCAACAAUUUCUUAAUUACAUGGACAGGUAAGUGUUAUUGAAUAAAUUGACACUUAAUUAAAAAUAGAUAAGUAAUCAAUAAGAAAUGUUGAUGAAAAAUGAUAAUUAUACAUUAAGCAAUAAAUUAUAACCUUAAUAUUACGAAUUUUCCAUCAAGAUCAACAGUUGACCUCAAAUAAUUCUCUGAUCGCGCGCUUUACGCCCUCUAUCUCGAAAACAGUUGGAGCUAUACAAAAAUAUUAAACAGAAAAGCUGUGGAGAAUUGAAUUCUCUACAAUAUUGAUGAGAAAUACUAUUAGUGUAAAACCCAUAGAAAACGAGAUAUUUGCAAAAAAUUUAAAAAAAAAUUUUUUGUGACCUUUGACAGCUUUUAAAACUUGCGAACAUUUAUAUGUAAAUUUUGAGAAUAGUUUUAGGGUGCCACGAUACAAGUUUUUACGCGAUAAUAUACUGGGUAUGUCAAUUUUCCGAGAUAUCCACCUAAUUUUGUCCAAGAUGAAUGGACUAAAUUAGAUCCACACUGUUAUUCUUCAACCAGUUUCUUGGAACGAUAGCCCAACUAGAAGACCACUAAUUCGACAUCUACUAAACUCAGUUGAUUUUAGUUGGUUCGCACUCCAGAUAUAAUAAGAGCCAUUGAAUUGUUAUAAUAAAUUUUUUCUCGUAAAAACAAAUUUUAAACUAUGAAAAUUGAAUUUUCUCGAAACUCAUCGAUAAGACUCAAAAAGUGAUAUGAAUUUCGAACUCUCCAUAAGAAAGUUCAUGUGGUUUUUUGAAUACUUUGACGAAUACCUAGAAUUUUCCAAGAUUAUGAAAGUGGAAAAAAAUUUUACCUCUGAUUCCGGUGAAAUCACACACAAAGGGAUAUUUUGCUAGUGCUAGUGCUAGUGCUAGUUGGUAUUAUUCUCACUCAACUAUGAAAGAUUAUGAUUUAAGAAGAUGAAAAACUGAUAUUUGUAUGGAUACCGUACUUGCAACUUUGCUCACUUCUUAUAAACUGAAUGUAUGCGGUCUUUAUAAAAUCAGGCUUAAUAUAUAAUAAAAAUAUAUGCGUUGAAUUUGUUAUAUUGUAAAAUUGUAGAAUGAUCGUUGUUGCGCUUAUGAAAAAAAAUUGUAUAAAUAUUAAAGAUGGCCUCUUAAAAAGACACGUAGCCUUGGCGAGACUAUUGAAAACCCCUUUUGAAUUAUGGACAUAUGUUAAAACAAAAGAAUUGAAUAAUCUUGCUGUAUUUAAAAAAUAUUUUUAUACGUGGUUUUAUCUGUUAAUUUUGAAUAAAGGCGAGAUUUUUUCAUUCGAAAACCUCAGGAGAAUUCCACAAAUCAAUUGAAUCACUGAAAAUAUGAGAGAAUUCAUAAAAUGUUCUGUCUUAAAUGAUUUACAAACAGAUGUAAAAGAAAAUGUUGGAUAUGAAAGUUGGUAGUUAUGAAUUUUCUCAAAAUGAUGGAAUGCAAAUUCAUUUCGUCGAACGAGACACCUGAUAUAUGUUCAAAUCAUUUGAUAGUUUUUUUUUUCCUUUUUACUGACAAAACCUUAAGUUUUAACAGAAAAUGAGCUAGUAUUGCAUCUAAAAAAAAUUAAGACCAUCAACUAAACAUUUUUCCAAAAUUACCAUUGUUGAUAAAAAUUAAAAACUAUGUGCAAAUACAUAAAUAUACAAGGUGUUUCGUUCCAAGAUUAUAGACAAAUAAAAAAGAUAAUACUUGACGAUGAAAUUACCGAUAGAACAACAAGGGAGUGUCAACUUCAAAGUAUAAACAAUCAAAGAAAGGAACAUCUCGUACAGCAUAGCUGAUAAAUGGUUAAACGUUAAACUCUGGAAGCAACUAAAUUGGAUUUUAUAGAGACGAGCAGCGUUGAGAUUCGAAAGAAAAUAAAUAUAAAUUAUAGGAAUACCAGAAAUAGAAUAUGAUAUUGAUAAUACUAAUGUAGUAGAAACAUAAAAUAAAAAUAUAACCAGUAAUUCUAAGGCAAAAAUGGAAAUUGAAAAAGAGGAAGAAGGCUUGAGGAUGAUUCGUGGAGUAAUAUAAGAGAAGAUGAACUUUUUUAAUGAGUCAAUUUACUCAUAAGUAGGAAUGAAUUAUCUAUUUAGUAUAGUUCUGUAUAGGAGAUAUCAUACACUGCUUAGUAAAAAGCAGUUGUAUUAGAUCAAGUCAAGUGGUCCCUCGAUUUUCCACUAGAUCAUAGAAAUUUGAAUUAUUAACUUUUUUCAUAAGUACCCCAAAAGAUUUUGAAGAAUUUUGAUUUUUUUUCUUUGAACAUUGAUUAAAAAUCAACAGUUAACGAUAAAUCAAUGAAACUUUCAGGAUUAUAGUUAGAUAGCAAUAUUUUAAUAAAACAUUAAUGACUUGAAAUUAUUUGUUCAUUUCCUUGUUGUUAAUAUACUUUUGAAUAAGCAAAUGAUCACUUUUUCGGUACAGAAUGGAGUUUUUGAUUGGUUUUUCAUUUACGUUUAUUAUUGCGAAAGAAAAUUUCACAGCUCGUUAUUAAUUUAAAUGCAAUGAAUUUAUUUAUUACAUGGCGUACACCUUGCAGUCGAGUGCGUCAGACUAUAAUGCAACUUCUCUUAAAUAUAAUUAAAAAUUACAAUUAAAAUAGUAUAUUACGUAACAAGAGUUGUGAGUAACCCAUUACGCACGAAGUGAAAAAUUUUAUGAGUGCGUAAUGGGCACACAACUCGUGUAACGUACUAUACUUUAUCUACGCCCAUUCAUAGCAUGCUACUAAAGAAAACGUGUCCUAUUUUUAAAGAAAUUGCAUAAUGUGCUGCCUACAUUUAGGGGCACCACUCUUUAGAUCAAAUAAAGUCUUAAGUAAAUAUAAAUUUGAUUGAACCAAGAAGUUUAAAAAUUUUCUUCUCAAAACGCACAUGUAUGUUAUGAGAUCUCAUCACGUGCAUGUUAUUGUUAAUUGUCAUUUACAAGGAUUGUUGACAGUACGAUUUUUGACGUUUACAGACAGGCGUAGAAAAAUAAUAUUAUUCAACAUAUUUGAUUAAAAAAAAGGAUUAGACACAAUUCAUAUAAUAAACUUGGGCACUGUAUGGCAGUAUUCAAUAUUACUGCCUUUUGGAUGUCGGUGAAGUGUUUUUUGGUAAUUCCGGCUAUCGUGCAGAGUCUUAAGCACGACAACGGUUGCUGACAAAAUAACUGGGACUUUUCUACAUUUUUGCUGUAUCACAUCUGUUUAAUCUCAUUUAUGAGAUCCGCGUAUUUGCCCGUCAGUUUCUCCUGGUGUUUGUUGAGAACGUUAUGAGGGUUAGGUAUAGCUACAUCGGGGAGAAGGACUCAAUCGAUUCUUCUAUCAACCACCACGAUGUCAGGGCUGUUAUUCGUCACCUGUCUAUCGAGCACCUUUUCUGGCUGGUUCUUGUAAUACGGUGCAUAAAUAUUGAGGAGACCAAACUUGUUGACCAGUUUCUGGUGGAUAAUGUUGCACUCUUGGUUAUUCCGGUGUAGAUAGAUGGUAUUAGCUAACACACUAUAAACAAAUUUCGUAUGGUGAAUGGACUCUGAUGUUUUCUGACAUUUUUCUUGUAGUUAUUCGUAUUAAAAACUUAAUCUUGGAUAGUCAUCAUGAAGCCUUCGGUCUCUGGAAAGAGAUUUCCGUUAGUGAGCCAUCUGUUUGAAGUUUCUUUGUCAACAUGCGGUUGGUUGAAGUCGUGGUGAAGUCUACCGUAUAAUGUUUUUCGUAACCAUUGUUCCAGCUUCUCGGCGUCAAAUUCAAGUCAUAUUCUGGCGAUGUGAGAUUGGGGGGUGAGUAAUCCUUAUCCUCAUUGGAUAUAAUAUGAUGUAGGGUUGAGGUUUUUCAUUUCCUAUGAAAGAAUUCAAGUAGUUUCAUUACCUGUCGAGAUUGUAGGUUGAGAAAGUUAACCAAGUCUCUUUUUGAGGUAAUAUUGUACUAAUAGUGCAUAAUUUCGGGUAGUGCUCUGAAUACUCUGUUUUGUCCACUUCAGGUUUCCAAAAGAGUACGUUAACACAGGUGUGCCAUAAGUGUUGAUUGCCAUUACCAAGCUACAUGCAUUUGAUUCGGACUUGUCGUCCAGUAACUUGUUGAAAUCCUAUGCAUUUGUAGCUUUCUCCGUUUUCCAUCGCCUGUAUGAUGUGUCCGUUAGGAAGUUGCACAUUUCCAGUCAUGAAAAUCCCUUUCUCGAUAUGUAUCGAUGUGUUAUAUCAAGAAGGUGAUUGAUUUUAUGCUUAUUUGCUGCGUAUAGCUUGAUAUCGUCUUUGUAAAGAAGAUGGUAGAUUGUGCAGAUGUAUCUCUGUUAGAUUUAAUGUUGAAUCCAUGUCAUUGAGCAUGGUAGAUAGGAAAUAUAUUACAGGGCAGAACCACAACGGACUUAAGGAGUCACUCUUGUAUAUUCCCUCGUAUUUUUUACCUCUCGUAAAUUUUAUUAAACAGUGUACUUCUAUAUUUAUUUUUUACUGAUAUCUCAGUGAAUUUUCUCUUUAAAAUUUCCUAGAAAAUACCCAAAUUUUAGUUGAGAAAAAAAACCGCUGGGUCACGAUUUUCAUUUCUUCUUCGUUUUUUUUGUGUUUCUCUGAUAAAAUAACAAAAGAAUUUUAGUAGUUGUUCCAAUUUAUUCGUAAAUUUGGUACACAGGCAAAAGAGUUGAAUAAUUAUUAAAAACGAUAACUUAGAUUCUGUUCCUUUUUGUUCUAUUUAUUAUUCUAUUAAUAUUACAAUUAUUAUUUAUAUCAAUUAUACUUAUUGUUAUCAUUUUUAAUUAUGUUUAAGAGAAGUCUGAGGCAUUCGGCGCGGUGUGAUAAAUAAAUUCAUUCAUUUAACAAUAAAUCCUAAAAGUUUUUCAAUUAGAAGUAGUAAAAAUUCUCAUUUUAAAAAAUUAUUGUUGAAAUCAAAAUGUAGAAAAAUCGUUCGGGAAAUGAGGAGACCACUUUACGUGAUCUUGCUGGGCUGUUUUAAAGAAAAAAAUAAACACGACUAAGUAAUUUUUGUCACAGUAUAUUUUUUGCUCGUAUCAACUAUUCGAAACAUUUCAAUAAAUUACAAAAUGUUUACGUUCUAUAUUAGAUCAAAUAAAAAUUAAUGCUAACACUGUAAAUAUUCAAAGCGAAAUAAGAACUGAGUGGAAACUUUGAGUUUCUUUUCUUUUUUAUAUGAAAUAUUCAAAGUUUUCUGAUAUGUCCUUCUAUUUUAUUAUGCCAACCGAUCUCGCCCAGACUAAGUAUGUAGUAACCAAUAAAUGUAUAAAUGGGGCUCUAGCUUUUUUAGUGGGGCUCUGAUUGUCUAAUACUCUUAACGGUCAGUGCAGAAUUUUUUCAGGCUAAUUAUAUCUUCUGCCCUGUAUAGAAUAAUAAUUAAACUAUAUAUACAACGGUAUUUUCUUAUUUCAAAAACUUUUUGGCAUACAUGGACCAUAAAAGUUUUCAAACCUUUGUAAGAGCAGUAAAAUAAUUUUGAUAAUGAACAGUACAUUUCGCAUCCAUUUACCAAAAAAAAAACUCAUUUUCAUUAAAUUAGAAUUCAAUUUCAACCCAAAAAAAAUUAUAUGAAUAAUAAUGAUACAAUUAAAAAAAUUUAUGAUAUCUAAAUUUGUUUAUCAUUGAUUUAAGGAAUGUUCGCGGCAAUUUUCUAUGUAUAAUUUAUAGAAUUCUCCAAAUAUUUCAUUGGCAAUUAUAUUGAGAUUCCAUGCUGUUUAGUUCACAGUAAAUCAGCUUUAAAGGCCGCUUGACAUUGUUGCGAGACAACGUGCAAGAAAUUGCAUCGCUGUCACAAAUUAUAUCUGCUGCUGUUUUACUUUUUGAUGGACAGGUUGAUUGGUAAGCCAAAACUAAGUAGAUUUCUUCCUAGAAUUGCAGCUUGCACACAAUAAAAAUGACACCAUCCGAUAAUGUUGCAAGUGCUGGAUCUUACAUGAAACAAUCAGUUAAAUUUCACCCGCGCAUCCAUUUUAUCAAUAAAGUAUUGCACAUUGUAUUGCAUCAUGUCAAAUGGCCUUUAGCUGAACUUCAUCUGUGUAUGUUUUUUAUCAAUAAAUAUCGCGUCUUGCAUUGCAUUUCACGUUUUCUUUAAUCAUAUUAAGUAGCCUUAAGAAGAGUAGUUGAUUGUCGCCUUAAACAGUGACUGGUAUACAAACAAGAAUUUGACGACUUUAGAAAUUGAACGAUUCACUCUACAUUUCCUAUUUAAAUGAUAUUUCUCACGCUUUGGAAGAAUAUUUGUAUUAUUUCGAUCCAAUUUAUUCCAUCAAAGUUUCAGUAGAAGAAGAGCUAGCAAUAAAUCUUCAAAUUUCAUUUGAAAAGUCAAGCUCAACAAUAGAAAUCAAUUCUGACAAUCCCCUAUAUUCAGGGUGAGCUGCUACUCGAAAAUUUUGAAAGGCAAGAAUUUCUUUAUCUUUGUAUAAAUUAUGAUAUGAAGAGAAGAUGUUGGAGGAAAUGGAAAUAUUAGGAAAAACUAUAAGGCUAAAAUUGAAGAAGUGGAAAACAAGCAUUGAAAAAAUAUAGAAGCCAAUUUUCUUCACUUUGUAUUACAAGCACCUUUGCUAUAUACAGGGUGUCUCACGACGAGUUAAAACGAAAUCAUGAAAAUUUGUACGUUUGGGUUUUCGGAUACCAUCUUUUCAACUAAAGUAUCUUCAAAGAUGGCCAGCUUCCGGUUAUACCAACUGUAGCUUUGUUAUUUUAAAUGGAAAUUUACGAAGAAUUUUAGUAUACUUUUGUCCGAAAACUGUUUUCGAAAAAUACAUACUUUUUUAAUUAUUAGUUAUUUUUUGUAAAAAAAUUGUACGUUGCAGACUCUAUAAAUUAUUUUUUUACGAGGAUGCCCUUAAAGAUAUGAAAAUGGUUUCUGUUGGGUUGCUUUUAGCAAAGCCAGAUAUAUUUGAAUCUAUGUUGAAAAUUUUUUCAUUCUACACAGGAUGUGUAUAAAAAGUGUUCAAAUUAUUAUAUCUGCUAUAUAUAGUUCUGAAACAUUCCCAUAUUCUUUUAAUGCUGAGAGGUUAAAAGUACUGCAUACUGGUCAAAGUCAAAAAGUUUUCGUGCAUAUCGGGGAUUUUAGGCUGUCGGACAAUUUAAAAAAGAUUUUUUUUUAUUUUUUAUCCAUUUCAAUACUUAACCAACCUAGCAUAUUUGUAUCAAGUCCUUGUUAUCAUUGAAUAUCAAAAACAGAUGGUUAGCUCCAAUCCAAUAAUAUUUCUGAAAGAAAUUUUUUAACCAUUUAAACUAAGUAACUAUAUUUCCACCUUUCCACUAUAUUUAUUUUCAAUCUUUGGUGCUUUGAUAUUUUAGUUCAUUUUAAGCAACAAAUUCUCUUUGGAAAACAAUACAAAGAUACAAAAUUUUAUGUUCGCUGGUAUUAACGCCCAAAAUCAGUAUUCUUUAUUAAAAUAAUAUUAACUUACGUUUAUAUAUUAUUUGUUAUCAUUUAGAUCGAAUUAUCAAUUCCGCUUUGUCGAUGAUGAGCUUCUCAUUAUACUAAAUCACCAAUAUCAUUGGUUUAUUUAAACAUGACUUUUUUUAUUCGUAUAAUAGAACGUCAGGAAAGGAAACUUGAAAUAUAUAUUCAAUUAAGAAAUCACAGACACAAAAAAUGAUAUUAGAAAGUUAUUUCCACAAAUAGAUAAUUGUUUAUUAAGAGAUAACCAAGCUAUUCAAUUAACAUAAACAUUUACUAUUAUUGAAGAUGAAACAAUAUGUCUUAUUUGUCAUAUUUUCUUCAUUAUAACCGAAUGUCAAAAAUAUUGAAUAAAUUUGGUUAAUAUUUUAUACAGGGUUUUUUUAUAAAUGUUUCUAAUAGCAUUAUGGCGAGCACAAACCUAUAAAAGCUGCUGCCAGAGUAAAAAAAGUUAGUGAUGUAAAUAGUUUUAUAACAUUAGCCGAUGUAUUAUUGUACUGAUAUAUUAACAACCUUAUUGUAAUUAAUGAGAAUUUUAUUUCUUAGAAUUGUUGAUAGUCAAAAAUGUUAUUAUUAUUAUAUUGUAGAGAAUAAAUCGAUUAUGUGAUAA